This 254-nucleotide ribosomal RNA is filed under the name uncultured bacterium. RNAcentral's name for it is "partial 16S ribosomal RNA". It matches the Rfam family "Bacterial small subunit ribosomal RNA", at positions 524 to 776 of the family's 1533-position model. The record is from RNAcentral.
UACGAAGGGGGCUAGCGUUGUUCGGAAUCACUGGGCGUAAAGCGCGUGUAGGCGGGCUGUUAAGUCGGGGGUGAAAUCCUGAGGCUCAACCUCAGAAUUGCCUUCGAUACUGGCAGUCUUGGAGUCCGGGAGAGGUGAGUGGAACUCCUAGUGUAGCGGUGAAAUGCGCAGAUAUUAGGAAGAACACCGGUGGCGAAGGCAGGUCUCUGGGCUAUAACUGACGCUCAUGCACGAAAGCGUGGGGAGCAAACAGG